This 497-nucleotide ribosomal RNA is filed under the name uncultured bacterium. RNAcentral's name for it is "partial 16S ribosomal RNA". It matches the Rfam family "Bacterial small subunit ribosomal RNA", at positions 28 to 507 of the family's 1533-position model. The record is from RNAcentral.
GAUGAACGCUGGCGGCGUGCCUAAUACAUGCAAGUCGAGCGAACAGACGAGGAGCUUGCUCCUCUGACGUUAGCGGCGGACGGGUGAGUAACACGUGGAUAACCUACCUAUAAGACUGGGAUAACUUCGGGAAACCGGAGCUAAUACCGGAUAAUAUAUUGAACCGCAUGGUUCAAUAGUGAAAGACGGUUUUGCUGUCACUUAUAGAUGGAUCCGCGCCGCAUUAGCUAGUUGGUAAGGUAACGGCUUACCAAGGCGACGAUGCGUAGCCGACCUGAGAGGGUGAUCGGCCACACUGGAACUGAGACACGGUCCAGACUACUACGGGAGGCAGCAGUAGGGAAUCUUCCGCAAUGGGCGAAGGCCUGACGGAGCAAAGCCGCGUGAGUGAUGAAGGUCUUCGGAUCGUAAAACUCUGUUAUUAGGGAAGAACAAAUGUGUAAGUAACUAUGCACGUCUUGACGGUACCUAAUCAGAAAGCCACGGCUAACUACGUG